GGAGGGGCGAAGCUUGGAGGGCAUAUUCAUAGACGAACCGGGUCACAGACGGAGCACCAACACCAGCUGACCGUGGUCUGUCACUGCCGCACCGACACCGUCCGUGGAUUGUGGACCGUGGACCAGUGGACCGUGGACCCCCACCACCGUGUGGACAGACCGACAACUGUUACCAUGACGGCGGAGGAGACGAUCAAUGUGAAGGAGGUGGAGAUCAUUAAGGUGGUGCUGGACUUCCUCCACUCCAGGAAGCUGCACAUCAGCAUGCUGGCUCUGGAGAAGGAGAGCGGCGUCAUCAACGGCCUCUACUCUGACGACAUGCUCUUCCUCAGGUGAGUGAGUUGCUCAGCGGCGCUCAGCGAGAGUUGCAGGUUCUCUUCCUCCUUCUCCUCACACGUGCUGUUGGUUGUGAUCACAGGCAGCUGAUUCUGGACGGGCAGUGGGACGAGGUCCUACAGUUCAUUCAGCCUCUGGAGUGCAUGGAAAAGUUUGACAGGAAGAGGUGACACACACUGUCACACUGUUGGUGUUUUAUGUGAAGAAACCAUGACUCAGCGUUUAUCCUCAGGUUUCGUUACAUCGUCCUCAAGCAGAAGUUUCUGGAAGCUCUGUGUGUGAACAACGCCAUGUCUGCAGAAGAUGAGCCGCAGCACCUGGAGUUUCACCAUGCAGGAGGCGGUGAAGUGUCUCCAUGCCCUGGAGGAGUUUUUGUGCGUCUAAAGAGGAACUACAGUAAACUGUGUCUGCUGCUGACGCUGCCUCGCCUCACUAACCACGCUGAGUUUAGGCACGCCCCCCCCCCCCCCCCCCCCCCCCCCCCCCAAUCACUGCUCCUCUGUGUGUGUGGAAACAUCUGGAAACAUCUUCUUUCUCUACGCCAACAUCUUCACAGGACUGGAACCCCAGCACGGCGCGUGUGCAGUGCUUUGAGGAGGCGUGUGUGAUGGUGGCUGAGUUCAUCCCUGCAGACAGGAAGCCUGAGUGAGGCGGGUUUUAAGGCCAGUGGAGGACCGACUGUUCCAGCUGCUGCUCAAAGGAGUUCUGUAUGAGUGCUGUGUAGAGUUCUGUCAGGUGAGUCACACACACACACACAUUCACAGAUAUUUUUCAGAUUUUCACGUUUUUCAGAGUUUUACAUGUAUUUUUUACAUUUCACGUAUUUU
RNAcentral lists this long non-coding RNA (1163 nucleotides) under Gouania willdenowi (blunt-snouted clingfish). RNAcentral describes it as "lncRNA (ENSGWIG00000021589.1)". Lineage: Eukaryota; Metazoa; Chordata; Actinopteri; Blenniiformes; Gobiesocidae. The record is from RNAcentral.